This 954-nucleotide ribosomal RNA is filed under the name uncultured bacterium. RNAcentral describes it as "bacterial SSU rRNA". It matches the Rfam family "Bacterial small subunit ribosomal RNA", at positions 8 to 960 of the family's 1533-position model. The record is from RNAcentral.
AGAGUUUGAUCCUGGCUCAGGAUGAACGCUGGCGGCAGGCUUAAUACAUGCAAGUCGAACGGUAACAGUACUAGCAAUAGUAGCUGACGAGUGGCGCACGGGUGCGUAACGCGUAUGCAACCUACCCAUAAUUGGAACAUAACGUUGAGAAAUUAACGCUAAUAUUCUAUGUGAAUAUGAAGAGGCAUCUUUUUAUAUUUAAAGAUUCAUUGAUUAUGGAUGGGCAUGCGUAUCAUUAGCUUGUUGGUGAGGUAACGGCUCACCAAGGCGACGAUGAUUAGGGGUUCUGAGAGGAUAUCCCCCCACACUGGAACUGAGACACGGUCCAGACUCCUACGGGAGGCAGCAGUAGGGAAUAUUGGGCAAUGGAAGCAAUUCUGACCCAGCCAUGCCGCGUGAAGGAAUACAGCCCUAUGGGUUUUAAACUUCUUUUAUUGUAGAGUAAACGGAGGUACGUGUACCUCCCUGCAAGUAUAUGAUGAAUAAGGAUCGGCUAACUCCGUGCCAGCAGCCGCGGUAAUACGGAGGAUCCAAGCGUUAUCCGGAUUUAUUGGGUUUAAAGGGUGCGCAGGCGGAUCAAUAAGUCAGGGGUGAAAAAUUUCAGCUUAACUGGAAUCGUGCCUUUGAUACUGUUGGACUAGAGUAUAAUUGACGUGACUGGAAUGUGAUGUGUAGCGGUGAAAUGCUUAGAUAUGUCACAGAACGCCAAUCGUGAAGACAGGUCACGAAAUUAUUACUGACGCUCAUGCACGAAAGCGUGGGGAUCAAACAGGAUUAGAUACCCUGGUAGUCCACGCUGUAAACGAUGAUUACUCGUUGUUGGGCAGUGAUGCUCAGUGGCUAAGCGAAAGCGAUAAGUAAUCCACCUGGGGAGUACGAUCGCAAGGCUGAAACUCAAAGGAAUUGACGGGGGCCCGCACAAGCGGAGGAGCAUGUGGUUUAAUUCGAUGAUAC